Long non-coding RNA from Dreissena polymorpha, 719 nucleotides. RefSeq lists it as uncharacterized. The record is from RefSeq and is a predicted model, not a curated record. Lineage: Eukaryota; Metazoa; Mollusca; Bivalvia; Myida; Dreissenidae. The transcript has 3 exons.
AGCAACAAUUUAUUUAAACCAUUUCAAGAAAAACGUGCCAAAUAUUUCAAUCUUAAACAAAUCAACGACUUUUAUUUUUGUUUAAAGCAACAUGUCAUCAAGGUUUGUCACAUUUAGUUACCUGUUUAGAAAUUCUAUCAAUUUAGAAUGAAACUUUUCACUCAAAGAAAACUGCACCCUUUCAAUUUUUAAACCAGUUUAAAAAAAGAUAAUUUAUUUGAAAUUAUGAAGUUUCACUAGCUUGACCAUUUUCUUAGCAAAAGGUUUCACAGUUGAACCUGCAAGAAUCAAAUUUUAUGGUAGAUAAACACUCACAUUAAUAAUAGUCAUUGCUUCCAAAUCUGCAACACAGAGGUCCUUUUUUCAUACAACUGACAGAUCAUUGAAUGUGUAUUGUAGACUGACAGGUCAUUGAAUGUGUAUUGUAGACUGACAAGUCAUUGAAUGUGUAUUGUAGACUGACAGGUCAUUGAAUAUGUAUUGUAGACCGACAGGUCAUUGAAUGUGUAUUGUUGACUGACAGGUCAUUUGAAUGUGUAUUAUAGACUGACAGGUCAUUAAAUGUGUUUUGUAGACUGACAGGUCAUUGAAUGUGUAUUGUAGACUGACAGGUCAUUGAAUGUGUAUUGUAGACUGACAGGUCAUUGAAUGUGUAUUGUAGACUGACAAGUAAUUGAAUGUGUAUUGUAGACUGACAGGUCAUUCAAUGUGUAUUGUAG